This 654-nucleotide ribosomal RNA is filed under the name Triticum aestivum (bread wheat). RNAcentral describes it as "partial small subunit ribosomal RNA". Lineage: Eukaryota; Viridiplantae; Streptophyta; Magnoliopsida; Poales; Poaceae. The record is from RNAcentral.
UGGGGAAGCAAAGAGGGACAGAGGAAGCCGAGUUGGGUUUCAUGGAGCACUAUGACAAGGCCGAAGCAUUGUGGGGGGCUGGACUUCCGUGAUAUAAAACUUUUCAACCUAGCUCUUCUUGCAAGGCAGGCGUGGAGGGUGAUGAUGGACCCAGAGUCACUGAGUGCUCGAGUGUUGAAGGCAAAAAUACCAUGUCAAUGUUGAUUUUUGCAAGCUGAGCUGGGGACGGCGCCAUCUCAAAUUUGGAGAGCUAUUCUUAAAGGCUGCGACGUUCUUACCCAAGGUUUAAUCCACCGUAUUGGGACUGGAGAAAAUACUAUGAUCUGGCAACAGAAUUGGCCACCAAGAGCUCACAACAUGAGGUCGACCGUUAGUAGAAUCCAAAACCCACCGUCAAGGGUUGCUGAACUCAUACUUUUGGGAGAUGAAUGGAACAUAACCUUGAUUGACGAUGUGUUUUUACCCACGGAUGCGUGGGCCAUUUACGCGACCCCGUUAUGCACAAGAUAUAUAGGAAAUUUUUGGGACUGGGUACAUGAGAAGAAUGGAAUCUUCUCUGUCCGCUCGGCUUAUCGCAUGCUCGUAGACACGAAGAUGAGGAGGGAGGCCUGGCUCGAGGGACGGGCUGAUGUUUCGAACAAUGAAGGCGAGUAG